UACGUAGGGUGCAAGCGUUGUCCGGAAUUAUUGGGCGUAAAGAGCUCGUAGGCGGUCUGUCGCGUCUGCUGUGAAAACUCAGGGCUUAACCCUGAGCUUGCAGUGGGUACGGGCAGACUAGAGUGCGGUAGGGGAGACUGGAAUUCCGUGGUGUAGCGGUGAAAUGCGCAGACUAUCGAGGAGGAACACCGGUGGCGAAGGCGGGUCUCUGGGCCGAUACUGAC
RNAcentral lists this ribosomal RNA (224 nucleotides) under uncultured bacterium. RNAcentral describes it as "partial 16S ribosomal RNA". It matches the Rfam family "Bacterial small subunit ribosomal RNA", at positions 524 to 744 of the family's 1533-position model. The record is from RNAcentral.